AGAGGAAUAGAUGGGGGAGAAAAAUAUAGAAACAAACCGCUUCGCUCGAGAGGUCCAGUUGUCUCUGCGACGGCCUCCCAGCAACGGUUUGGAAGGAAUCUGCUCAGUGCGGCCUCUACACCCUUCUCCUUGCUCUAUAGUUGUCCCUCUAGGUACAGCAGGGAGGGGCAGCGGUGGGGGCUGCAGGGAUUGGAUUUUCCCUGUUUCCGCCUUCUGGAGCCUCAUCAUCUUCCUCUCCCCCUCCUUGAACCUCUACUGUAUUUCAUUCAGAGGCUUCUAUUUCAGCUUUUCUGCUGAGGGGCGGAGCCCUAAUACCUCCGCUGAGAAGGAUGGAAGUCAGCAGUGUAGUGCAGGCACGUGCACACGCAAGGCUCAACCUGUGAAGAGCUAGUCGUCUAGUACCCCUUUUGCCAUCUAGUGCCCGCUCCGGUUUACACGUGCCCGUAUGUCAUGGUGAGGCGCGUCGCGUACACCGACGGGCAUGCAUCGUCCGUCUUUUUUUUUUUACACGCGUCACUCAUUCCGUCCGUUUGAGCCGACAACUGCUUGAGCCGACAUCCCACUUUCUCAGAUUCAGCACAUGCCCCUUGGAAGGUCUGUGCACGCUACUGGUGUAGUGGCGUGGCUGGUCCUGCUGGCUGCCACUGGAAGGUUCCGGAACCUAGCCUACUACUUCUCUUUAGGGGCGUUGGUGCCAUGCUGAAAGACAGGCAGGGCACCUGGAGACCUUGGUGUUAAUCGGGCGUUGCUGCAUAAAUAAAGGUAUUGAAGCCAAAGAACAAUCUACAGUGUGGACGAUAAAGUAUAAUUUUUGUUCAUAAUGCACUGGAAAAGGAUACAAAUGCGCUAUUCUGAAAAGUGGAACUGUCCCUUUAAUACCCUACAUUUACUCAAGCAAUUAAAGU
Esox lucius (northern pike) is the source of this 905-nucleotide long non-coding RNA. RefSeq lists it as uncharacterized. NCBI's taxonomy places the organism in Eukaryota, Metazoa, Chordata, Actinopteri, Esociformes, Esocidae. The record is from RefSeq and is a predicted model, not a curated record. The transcript is spliced from 3 exons.